GGAAACCGGGGCUAAUACCGGAUAACAUUUUGAACUGCAUGGUUCGAAAUUGAAAGGCGGCUUCGGCUGUCACUUAUGGAUGGACCCGCGUCGCAUUAGCUAGUUGGUGAGGUAACGGCUCACCAAGGCAACGAUGCGUAGCCGACCUGAGAGGGUGAUCGGCCACACUGGGACUGAGACACGGCCCAGACUCCUACGGGAGGCAGCAGUAGGGAAUCUUCCGCAAUGGACGAAAGUCUGACGGAGCAACGCCGCGUGAGUGAUGAAGGCUUUCGGGUCGUAAAACUCUGUUGUUAGGGAAGAACAAGUGCUAGUUGAAUAAGCUGGCACCUUGACGGUACCUAACCAGAAAGCCACGGCUAACUACGUGCCAGCAGCCGCGGUAAUACGUAGGUGGCAAGCGUUAUCCGGAAUUAUUGGGCGUAAAGCGCGCGCAGGUGGUUUCUUAAGUCUGAUGUGAAAGCCC
RNAcentral lists this ribosomal RNA (466 nucleotides) under Bacillus thuringiensis. Its description in RNAcentral is "bacterial SSU rRNA". It matches the Rfam family "Bacterial small subunit ribosomal RNA", at positions 152 to 603 of the family's 1533-position model. The record is from RNAcentral. Lineage: Bacteria; Bacillati; Bacillota; Bacilli; Caryophanales; Bacillaceae.